AGCGAACGUUAGCGGCGGGCCUAACACAUGCAAGUCGAGCGAGAAAGGGGGUUCGCCCCCGAGUACAGCGGCGGACGGGUGAGUAACACGUAGGUAAUUUUCCCUUGAGCGGGGGACAACGUUCCGAAAGGGACGCUAAUACCGCAUAAGUUCUUGGGUGCUUCGGCACUGGAGAGGAAAGCUAGGCCGCAAGGUCUGGCACUCGAGGAGAAGCCUGCGUCGCAUCAGCUAGUUGGUGGGGUAAUGGCCUACCAAGGCAAAGACGCGUAGCUGGUCUGAGAGGAUGAUCAGCCACACUGGGACUGAGACACGGCCCAGACUCCUACGGGAGGCAGCAGUGGGGAAUAUUGGGCAAUGGGCGAAAGCCUGAUCCAGCAAUGCCGCGUGAGUGAUGAAGGCCUUAGGGUUGUAAAGCUCUUUUACCCGGAUGAUAAUGACAGUACCGGGAGAA
Molecule: ribosomal RNA, 451 nt
Filed under: uncultured bacterium
Lineage: Bacteria
Description: bacterial SSU rRNA
Rfam family: Bacterial small subunit ribosomal RNA
Source: RNAcentral